ACCGAUAGUGAACCAGUACCGUGAGGGAAAGGCGAAAAGAACCCCGGCGAGGGGAGUGAAAAAGAACCUGAAACCGUGUACGUACAAGCAGUGGGAGCCUCUUAAUGGGGUGACUGCGUACCUUUUGUAUAAUGGGUCAGCGACUUAUAUUCUGUAGCAAGGUUAACCGAAUAGGGGAGCCGAAGGGAAACCGAGUCUUAACUGGGCGCUAAGUUGCAGGGUAUAGACCCGAAACCCGGUGAUCUAGCCAUGGGCAGGUUGAAGGUUGGGUAACACUAACUGGAGGACCGAACCGACUAAUGUUGAAAAAUUAGCGGAUGACUUGUGGCUGGGGGUGAAAGGCCAAUCAAACCGGGAGAUAGCUGGUUCUCCCCGAAAGCUAUUUAGGUAGCGCCUCGUGAAUUCAUCUCCGGGGGUAGAGCACUGUUUCGGCAAGGGGGUCAUCCCGACUUACCAACCCGAUGCAAACUGCGAAUACCGGAGAAUGUUAUCACGGGAGACACACGGCGGGUGCUAACGUCCGUCGUGAAGAGGGAAACAACCCAGACCGCCAGCUAAGGUCCCAAAGUCAUGGUUAAGUGGGAAACGAUGUGGGAAGGCCCAGACAGCCAGGAUGUUGGCUUAGAAGCAGCCAUCAUUUAAAGAAAGCGUAAUAGCUCACUGGUCGAGUCGGCCUGCGCGGAAGAUGUAACGGGGCUAAACCAUGCACCGAAGCUGCGGCAGCGACACUAUGUGUUGUUGGGUAGGGGAGCGUUCUGUAAGCCUGUGAAGGUGGCCUGUGAGGGUUGCUGGAGGUAUCAGAAGUGCGAAUGCUGACAUAAGUAACGAUAAAGCGGGUGAAAAGCCCGCUCGCCGGAAGACCAAGGGUUCCUGUCCAACGUUAAUCGGGGCAGGGUGAGUCGACCCCUAAGGCGAGGCCGAAAGGCGUAGUCGAUGGGAAACAGGUUAAUAUUCCUGUACUUGGUGUUACUGCGAAGGGGGGACGGAGAAGGCUAUGUUGGCCGGGCGACGGUUGUCCCGGUUUAAGCGUGUAGGCUGGUUUUCCAGGCAAAUCCGGAAAACCAAGGCUGAGGCGUGAUGACGAGGCACUACGGUGCUGAAGCGACAAAUGCCCUGCUUCCAGGAAAAGCCUCUAAGCAUCAGGUAACAUCAAAUCGUACCCCAAACCGACACAGGUGGUCAGGUAGAGAAUACCAAGGCGCUUGAGAGAACUCGGGUGAAGGAACUAGGCAAAAUGGUGCCGUAACUUCGGGAGAAGGCACGCUGAUAUGUAGGUGAAGCGACUUGCUCGUGGAGCUGAAAUCAGUCGAAGAUACCAGCUGGCUGCAACUGUUUAUUAAAAACACAGCACUGUGCAAACACGAAAGUGGA
This 1371-nucleotide ribosomal RNA is filed under the name Escherichia coli. RNAcentral describes it as "partial 23S ribosomal RNA". It matches the Rfam family "Bacterial large subunit ribosomal RNA", at positions 483 to 1841 of the family's 2925-position model. Lineage: Bacteria; Pseudomonadati; Pseudomonadota; Gammaproteobacteria; Enterobacterales; Enterobacteriaceae. The record is from RNAcentral.